Molecule: ribosomal RNA, 301 nt
Filed under: uncultured bacterium
Lineage: Bacteria
Description: partial 16S ribosomal RNA
Rfam family: Bacterial small subunit ribosomal RNA
Source: RNAcentral
CAGUAGCCGCGGUAAAACGUAGGUGGCAAGCGUUGUCCGGAAUUAUUGGGCGUAAAGGGCGCGCAGGCGGCUUCUUAAGUCUGUCUUAAAAGUGCGGGGCUUAACCCCGUGAUGGGAUGGAAACUGGGAAGCUCAGAGUAUCGGAGAGGAAAGCGGAACUCCUAGUGUAGCGGUGAAAUGCGUAGAUAUUAGGAGGAACACCAGUGGCGAAAGCGGCUUUCUGGACGAAAACUGACGCUGAGGCGCGAAAGCCAGGGGAGCGAACGGGAUUAGAUACCCCCGUAGUCCCUGUCUCUUAUAC